GACGAACGCUGGCGGCGUGCUUAACACAUGCAAGUCGAACGGAAAGGCCCUGCUUUUGUGGUGUUCUCGAGUGGCGAACGGGUGAGUAACACGUGAGUAACCUGCCCUUGACUUUGGGAUAACUUCAGGAAACUGGGGCUAAGACCGUAUAGGAUCUCCUGCUGCAUUGUGGGGGGGGGAAAUUUGCGGCGGUUGGGGCUGGACGCGCGGCUUAUCAGCUUGUUGGUGGGGUAGUGGCUUACCCAGGCUUUGACGGGUAGCCGGCCUGAGAGGGUGAACGGCCACAUUGGGACUGAGAUACGGCCCAGACUCCUACGGGAGGCAGCAGUGGGGAAUAUUGCACAAUGGGAGGAAGCGUGAUGAAGAAACGCCGCGUGCGGGAUGACGGCCUUCGGGUUGUAAACCGCUUUAGCCUGUGACGAAGCGUGAGUGACGGUAAUGGGUAAAGAAGCACCGGCUAACUACGUG
This 468-nucleotide ribosomal RNA is filed under the name uncultured bacterium. RNAcentral describes it as "partial 16S ribosomal RNA". It matches the Rfam family "Bacterial small subunit ribosomal RNA", at positions 28 to 507 of the family's 1533-position model. The record is from RNAcentral.